Molecule: ribosomal RNA, 563 nt
Filed under: uncultured Glomeromycotina
Lineage: Eukaryota; Fungi; Glomeromycota
Description: SSU rRNA
Rfam family: Eukaryotic small subunit ribosomal RNA
Source: RNAcentral
UUGGAGGGCAAGUCUGGUGCCAGCAGCCGCGGUAAUUCCAGCUCCAAUAGCGUAUAUUAAAGUUGUUGCAGUUAAAAAGCUCGUAGUUGAAUUUCGGGAUCAAAUUGUCGGUCGUGCCUCGGUACGCACUGGUAUUAUUGGUUCCUACCUUCUGAAGAACCGCGAUGUCAUUAAUUUGGUGUCGUGGGGAAUCAGGACUGUUACUUUGAAAAAAUUAGAGUGUUUAAAGCAGGCGCACGCUUGAAUACAUUAGCAUGGAAUAAUGAAAUAGGACGUUUGAUCCUAUUUUGUUGGUUUCUAGGAUUGACGUAAUGAUUAAUAGGGAUAGUUGGGGCAUUAGUAUUCAAUUGUCAGAGGUGAAAUUCUUGGAUUUAUUGAAGACUAACUACUGCGAAAGCAUUUGCCAAGGAUGUUUUCAUUAAUCAAGAACGAAAGUUAGGGGAUCGAAGACGAUCAGAUACCGACGUAGUCUUAACCAUAAACUAUGCCGACUAGGGAUCGGAUGAUGUUAAUUUUUUAAUGACUCAUUCGGCGCCUUACGGGAAACCAAAGUGUUUGGGUUC